GUCAGGACACUCACAUCAGGUGACCCAACCGAAGUGAACAGACGGACUGCUUGGACACGACAUCUAGGAAACUGUUUGUGAUGCAGAAAUCUGAGGCACAAACGCACCGGCGUAUCCUGAGAAGAAUGACACCACUUAUUCCCCACACACAUCCCUCGUUUUUCUGCCCCUUGAGAGAAGCCAUCAGUCAUUACUGUCAGCAGUGAAGUUCCACCAUCAUCAUCAUCAUCAUCAUCAUCAUCAUGGUUUCAUUCAUUUCCACCCCCCGGCGUCCUGAAACAGAGACCGGACGACUGAUGAGUGGCUGAGAUCAACAGGUGAUCAUAAUCCCUUACCAUUCACCCACAUGAAGAUGCUAGAAUCCCCAUGUAGU
Molecule: long non-coding RNA, 373 nt
Filed under: Danio rerio (zebrafish)
Lineage: Eukaryota; Metazoa; Chordata; Actinopteri; Cypriniformes; Danionidae
Description: lncRNA (ENSDARG00000117765.1)
Source: RNAcentral